Molecule: long non-coding RNA, 469 nt
Organism: Olea europaea var. sylvestris
Lineage: Eukaryota; Viridiplantae; Streptophyta; Magnoliopsida; Lamiales; Oleaceae
Exons: 3
Source: RefSeq, a predicted model, not a curated record
GCCCGUUGGGAAUAAGUUGUUUCGAAGUCCUAGGUUCCGGAGUUCUUACAAAACGGGCUCUGACUCUUCUGUACUGUAAUAAGUGUCUCUCAUAUCUCUCCUCUCCUCUCCCCAGUCGGCUAGCACUUCAGACUCAGACCGAAAAGAUCAUGACUACUUCGAAACGUCUGGCAGAGAAGAAAACAGCGAAAUUCGAGAAGAAUAUCACAAGGAGAGGACUGAUUCCUCAAUCAUCUAAGAAAGAAGAAUGGGAACCUGCACACAUUGUUCUUGUCCUCUUUGCAGUUCUGGUAGUAUUGUCAUUUGUUUAUCAGGUUGUCAGGAUGGCAAUUAACGGUGGAAUGUACUGAGAAAUUGGAAUUGUUUCGAUGCUUGGAAGCUAUUUCCUGCUGUUGGGACUUUCCUAUGUUUAUUUUGGGGAUUUUAACAAUAAUAUAGAUAAUGAAUUAUGAAUAUCCCUUUUGCUCAU